UAGCUUUUUCACUGUGUUUGGAAGGCAAAACGUUAUCUUGGUUUAGGGUUGAAGAAGAUAUUUCAUCUUCCAUUGAUUGAGAUUACUUUAGCAGCUUGUUGUUUUUAUGUGGUCAAUUUGGGAGCUGUCUAUCUAGAAACAAUUAUUGAUUGUUACGUAUGUAGAUUUUCUUCUGAGUUAACAAAAUUACUGUGUUUGAUAGUGUUCAUCAUGUCGACGAUUCUAGCAGUGCAAUUUGAUCAAAAUCCAUUGGCCUAUAUUGAGCAUGGUGAAUAUUUGGAGUUAUGAAUGCAAUAGUAUUGAAUCUAGUUGAAGGUUUCAUACCAAUAAAUGUGUGCUGCAAUAUGAUGAUCUCUUGAUGUUGUCUUUCUCAUGGAAGUUUUGAAAUGUGGCUGACAAACAGACAUAACUUAAUCACUCAAAAUCUUUAUCCUCGAUUCUUCUUCAAUAUAUGCUCUCAGAUUGUUAUAUCCUUAUCUGAAGCAUAACUAUAUAUUACUCUUAUCUGCUCCUUGAGUUUUGAUGAUAUUUUUUUUAUCUGUAGUUUCAUUUUACUAAAAUUUUGGCAACUUAUGUCAUCAGUUGGUUUGUAAUGGUUUAUUUGUUGGCUCGCAGUAUCUGUGAUCUUCACGGGACCAUGAUUUAAUUGGGAAAUAUAAUUCAGUUAAGUGU
Impatiens glandulifera is the source of this 672-nucleotide long non-coding RNA. RefSeq lists it as uncharacterized. The record is from RefSeq and is a predicted model, not a curated record. The transcript is spliced from 2 exons. Lineage: Eukaryota; Viridiplantae; Streptophyta; Magnoliopsida; Ericales; Balsaminaceae.